GACGAACGCUGGCGGCGUGCUUAACACAUGCAAGUCGAACGGAAAGGCCCUGCUUUUGUGGGGUGCUCGAGUGGCGAACGGGUGAGUAACACGUGAGUAACCUGCCCUUGACUUUGGGAUAACUUCAGGAAACUGGGGCUAAUACCGGAUAGGAGCUCCUGCUGCAUGGUGGGGGUUGGAAAGUUUCGGCGGUUGGGGAUGGACUCGCGGCUUAUCAGCUUGUUGGUGGGGUAGUGGCUUACCAAGGCUUUGACGGGUAGCCGGCCUGAGAGGGUGACCGGGCACAUGGGGACUGAGAUACGGCCCAGACUCCUACGGGAGGCAGCAGUGGGGAAUAUGGCACAAUGGGCGGAAGCCUGAGGCAGCAACGCCGCGUGCGGGAUGACGGCCUUCGGGGUGUAAACCGCUUUCGCCUGUGACGAAGCGGGAGUGACGGUAAUGGGUAAAGAAGCACCGGCUAACUACGUG
This 468-nucleotide ribosomal RNA is filed under the name uncultured bacterium. RNAcentral's name for it is "partial 16S ribosomal RNA". It matches the Rfam family "Bacterial small subunit ribosomal RNA", at positions 28 to 507 of the family's 1533-position model. The record is from RNAcentral.